CCUGUUCCCAGGGGCGUUGCAGGUGUGGCUGCUUUGUCUAGUGUUCCUUAGUAGGUGGGAGAGAGGAGAGAGGCUGUCCUAUGCUCAGUGUUCUGACUAAGAACAUCUCAAUGAUUAGCAGCCUAACAUU
Small nucleolar RNA from Psammomys obesus (fat sand rat), 130 nucleotides. RefSeq annotates it as small nucleolar RNA SNORA17. The transcript has a single exon. Lineage: Eukaryota; Metazoa; Chordata; Mammalia; Rodentia; Muridae. The record is from RefSeq and is a predicted model, not a curated record.